GUCGAGAAUCUUCGGCAAUGGGCGCAAGCCUGACCGAGCGACGCCGCGUGGAGGAUGAAGGCCUUCGGGUUGUAAACUCCUGUCGAGGGGGAGGAAGUCCCGACUUGUCGGGAUUGACCGAUCCCUGGAGGAAGCACGGGCUAAGUUCGUGCCAGCAGCCGCGGUAAGACGAACCGUGCGAACGUUAUUCGGAAUCACUGGGCUUAAAGCGCGUGUAGGCGGAUGGGAACGUCGGUAGUUGAAAGCCCCCGGCUCAACCGGGGAAGUGGUGCCGAAACGACCCGUCUGGAGGGACGUAGGGGGACCUGGAACUUCCGGUGGAGCGGUGAAAUGCGUUGAGAUCGGAAGGAACGCCCGUGGCGAAAGCGAGGUCCUGGACGUCUACUGACGCUGAGACGCGAAAGCUAGGGGAGCAAACGGGAUUAGAAACCCCGGUAGUCC
Molecule: ribosomal RNA, 441 nt
Filed under: uncultured bacterium
Lineage: Bacteria
Description: bacterial SSU rRNA
Rfam family: Bacterial small subunit ribosomal RNA
Source: RNAcentral